GGCCUUGGGUAAUCGAGCGCGGCAAUUGUCGUGUUAGGAAGGUCCAUGCUCGCACGGGCUGCGAUGCCCGUAGUGUUUGUGCUCGCUGAAACGAUAAGGCGGGGCACCGGUGAUGCCGGUGACGGCGGAAAAAGCGGCUAAGGCUUCGGCUAUGCCCCAGUAUUCCUGAAAAGUGCCACAGUGACGAAGCAGGUUUGGAAACAAGCCUGAUGGAACGCGGUAAACCCCUCAAGCGGGAAACCCAAACUUACGGUAGGGGAGCUUUGGAUAACAAAUUGAAGUGAUUCCAGGGGAGCGUAUUUUUACGCUGAGAUAGAUGAUUACCACUGCACGUUUACGCCUGACAUUCGUGCUUUGACAAAACAUGGCCUACAGAG
This is a non-coding RNA of 377 nucleotides. It matches the Rfam family "Bacterial RNase P class B". Rfam says of the family: Ribonuclease P (RNase P) is a ubiquitous endoribonuclease, found in archaea, bacteria and eukarya as well as chloroplasts and mitochondria. The record is from Rfam.